Molecule: ribosomal RNA, 502 nt
Filed under: uncultured Glomeromycotina
Lineage: Eukaryota; Fungi; Glomeromycota
Description: partial small subunit ribosomal RNA
Rfam family: Eukaryotic small subunit ribosomal RNA
Source: RNAcentral
CCAAUAGCGUAUAUUAAAGUUGUUGCAGUUAAAAAGCUCGUAGUUGAAUUUCGGAGUUUGUCGGUUGGUCGGGCUUCACUGUCCGCACUGGCCUGAUGGAUUCCUACCUUCUGAAUAACCAGCAUGCUAUUAAGUUAGUGCGUUGGGGAAGCAGAGCUAUUACCUUGAAAAAAUUAGAGUGCUUAAAGCAGGCUUUUGCUUGAAUAGAUUAGCAUGGAAUAAUAAAAUAGGACGGCAUGGUUCUAUUUUGUUGGUUUCUAGGAUCACCGUAAUGAUUAAUAGGGAUAGUUGGGGGCAUUAGUAUUCAAUUGUCAGAGGUGAAAUUCUUGGAUUUAUUGAAGACUAACUUCUGCGAAAGCAUUUGCCAAGGAUGUUUUCAUUAAUCAAGAACGAAAGUUAGGGGAUCGAAGACGAUCAGAUACCGUCGUAGUCUUAACCAUAAACUAUGCCGACUAGGGAUCGGACGAUGUUAAUUUUUUAAUGACUCGUUCGGCGCCUUACG